AUGCGCGUCUGUGUACUCUGCUUCUUCGAUGACAUCUUGAUCUUUAGCGCCACUUUGGAGGAACACAAGUGUCACGUGCGACAAGUGUUGGGGCUUUUGCGCAAAGAUCAUUGGAAAGUUAAGCUCAGCAAGUGUGCUUUCGGUCAGAGCAAAAUUGCAUACCUGGGCCAUGUCAUCAGCGUGCAAGGUGUGUCAACAGAUCCCACCAAGAUAGCUGCAGUAGCAAUUUGGACCUCCCCUCAGAAUGUCAAGGAAGUCAGGAGCUUCUUGGGACUUGCAGGCUACUACCGACGUUUCGUGCGCAAUUUUGGAGUGAUUGCGCGGCCACUGUUUAACUUGCUGAAAAAGAGCGUCCCCUUCCUUUGGACAUCAAUCACAGAAACUGCUUUUCAAAUUCUCAAGCAACAACUUAUGACAGCUCCGGUUCUGGCCCUGCCAAACUUUGAUCACCCAUUCACAGUUGAGACAGAUGCAUGCGACCGUGGCAUAGGCGCAAUUCUGCAGCAACAGGGGCAUCCCAUAGCCUUCAUGAGCAAGGCUCUGAGCCCACGCUAUCAGGGACUGUCGACAUAUGAGAAGGAACACCUGGCAAUUAUAGUUGCCGUGGAACAGUGGCGUCCAUAUCUGCAACACUCGGAGUUUGUCAUCUUCACAGACCAAAAGAGCCUCACGCAUCUAGAAGAACAACGUCUCAACACACCGUGGCAGCACAAGGCUUUCACCAAACUGUUGGGACUCAGGUGUUGUAUUAAGUACAAGAAGGGUACAGAGAACAACGGCGCCAAUGCCCUCUCACGUGCAAACCCA
This 807-nucleotide ribosomal RNA is filed under the name Triticum aestivum (bread wheat). RNAcentral describes it as "partial small subunit ribosomal RNA". The record is from RNAcentral. Lineage: Eukaryota; Viridiplantae; Streptophyta; Magnoliopsida; Poales; Poaceae.